UCCUCAGUUGCCAGCACUUCGGGUGGGAACUCUGGGGCGACUGCCGGUGACAAACCGGAGGAAGGUGGGGACGACGUCAAGUCAUCAUGGCCCUUACGGCCAGGGCUACACACGUGCUACAAUGGUAUAUACAAACGGAAGCGAAGUCGCGAGGUGGAGCAAAUCUGAGAAAGUAUAUCGUAGUCCGGAUUGGAGUCUGCAACUCGACUCCAUGAAGUCGGAAUCGCUAGUAAUCGUGAAUCAGAACGUCACGGUGAAUACGUUCCCGGGCCUUGUACACACCGCCCGUCACACCAUGGGAGUGGGUUGCUCCAGAAGUGGUUAGCCUAACCUUCGGGAGGGCGAUCACCACGGAGUGAUUCAUGACUGGGGUGAAGUCGUAACAAGGUAGCACUAGGGGAACCUGGGGCUGGAUCACCU
Non-coding RNA from Paramuricea clavata, 420 nucleotides. The record is from the annotation of a GenBank genome assembly. Lineage: Eukaryota; Metazoa; Cnidaria; Anthozoa; Malacalcyonacea; Plexauridae.